GCUGGGUGUGGUGGCACACGCCUGUAAUCCUAGCUACUUGGGAGGCUGAGGCUGGAGAAUUGCUUGAACCCAGGAGGUGGAGGUUGCAGUGAGCCGAGAUCGUGCCACUGCACUCCAGCCUGGGUGACAAAGUGAGACUCUGUCUCAA
This 148-nucleotide small RNA is filed under the name Pongo abelii (Sumatran orangutan). Its description in RNAcentral is "Metazoan signal recognition particle RNA (ENSPPYG00000033558.1)". The record is from Rfam by way of RNAcentral. Lineage: Eukaryota; Metazoa; Chordata; Mammalia; Primates; Hominidae.